Long non-coding RNA from Sinocyclocheilus anshuiensis, 561 nucleotides. RefSeq lists it as uncharacterized. The transcript is spliced from 3 exons. NCBI's taxonomy places the organism in Eukaryota, Metazoa, Chordata, Actinopteri, Cypriniformes, Cyprinidae. The record is from RefSeq and is a predicted model, not a curated record.
UCUGCCUCCUUCUGUCCUCUCUGGUCUUAAUGCGAGAACCUUAAUUGACUCAGAGCGCCUGUAUCUGCUCCAUCUGCCUGAUGCACGAACACUGCUGCUGCUGCUGCUCAACAGAGAGCUUCGAGUUAUGUUGCAAGUUCUGAGAGUGUGAUCAAGUCAACCUAGAUCAAGACAAGACAGGCAGAGAUCUUCUGGCAGCAAUAGAAAGGCAGAAAGAUAUCAGUGGAGAGUAAAUGAAAAUAGUCACAUGCAAAGAAAAGGCAUCAACAAAGCCAGGAAUCUUAGUGGGAAUAGUCCAAAAUCUUCCAUACAUCAGGUGCUUCAGACUAACAAAACAUCCCAGUUAGGUUAAACAUGCAUAACCAAAUCUUUUUUUUUUUUGUAUAGUCCUGCUUCAGUGUGUUUCAUUUGUCAAGGUACACAUGUGAUCUUGGUGCUUACUUAGAAAGGAGCACAGAGAAAUUAAGAAACUUGUGUAGAAUCUCAUAGUAGAAUUUAGAACUAGUUUGAAGAUGUUUAGUUACUAGAGUCCUAACUCUCUAAAUAUGAGAUUAAAUAAAU